CCCUUAGAUGUUCUGGGCCGCACACGCGCUACACUGAAGGAGGCAGCGUGUACUCCUGGAUCGAAAGAUUUGGGUAACCCGCGAAUCUCCUUCGUGCUAGGGAUUGAGGUUUGCUAUUAUCCUUCAUGAACGAGGAAUUCCCAGUAAGUGCAAGUCAUAAGCUUGCGCUGACUACGUCCCUGCCCUUUGUACACACCGCCCGUCGCUACUACCGAUUGAAUGAUUUAGUGAGGACUUCGGACUGGGACCGAUGCGGCUUUCGGGCUGCGUCGGUAUUCUGGAAAGAUGUCCAAACUGUAUCAUUUAGAGGAAGUAAAAGUCGUAACA
Molecule: ribosomal RNA, 327 nt
Filed under: uncultured eukaryote
Lineage: Eukaryota
Description: partial 18S ribosomal RNA
Rfam family: Eukaryotic small subunit ribosomal RNA
Source: RNAcentral